GGAGAUGUAUCGAUUGAUGCAUGUGCCCCUUCCCCCUCCACCCAGCAGGCAGCUAAUCAUCCACUGCAUCCUGUGGUUUGCCUGGGCUUCCUACCCCAGGAAGGGCCUUCGGCUUCAGCACAGCAGGUUUGCUGUAAAGUCAACUGUGAUCAGCUUUAUGAUAUUGAAUUGGACUGACUGAACAAACAGAAGGACAUGCCUGAACUGCAAAGUGACUUGGAGAGUUUAAAACUGUGGUGGCUUCAGUCAAGCAGAGGAGUUUCAGUGUUAGUAAAAAUAGAUCCUGAUACCCAGGGAAAAGCAAUGACAGCAAGACUUACAAAACGAAGCAGAAGGGACCCAAAAAAGGCCAUGUCAUAUUAUUUUCCCUCUUGUCUCAUUAAUACAAUCUCAAUAUUAAUUUUCCAUUUGACCAGCACUUCAGUUGUCACAAGAGAGGUGUGAGAUUGGUAUUGGGAGGUUGGGAAGGCCAACAGUUGAUAGCAGUAUCCCCGUUGGCCACAUUAAAUUCUGGAGAAUCACUGACUUGGAAUAUUUGUAUUUACUGCUUCAAGUACAUAAAGGCAAUUAUGAG
Molecule: long non-coding RNA, 574 nt
Organism: Alligator sinensis (Chinese alligator)
Lineage: Eukaryota; Metazoa; Chordata; Crocodylia; Alligatoridae
Exons: 3
Source: RefSeq, a predicted model, not a curated record